GACGAACGCUGGCGGCGUGCUUAACACAUGCAAGUCGAACGGUGAAGCGCUUACCUUUUUGGUGGGUGUGGAUGAGUGGCGAACGGGUGAGUAACACGUGAGUAACCUGCCCUCUUCUUCUGGAUAACCUCAUGAAAGUGUGGCUAAUACGGGGUAUUCCGGGUCUGUCGCAUGGCGGGUUUGGGAAAGAUUGUGCCUUUGGGUGUUUUCGGUGGGGGAUGGGCUCGCGGCCUAUCAGCUUGUUGGUGGGGUGAUGGCCUACCAGGGCGGUGACGGGUAGUCGGCGUGAGAGGGUGGACGGCCACACUGGGACUGAGACACGGACCAGACUCCUGCGGGAGGCAGCAGUGGGGAAUAUUGCAGAAAGGGCGCAAGCCUGAUGCAGCGACGCCGCGUGAGGGAUGGAGGCCUUCGGGUGGUGAACCUCUUUCGACAGUGAAGCAGGCCUGCUCCUGUGUGGGUGGGUUGACGGUAGCUGGAUAAGAAGCGCCGGCUAACUACGUG
Molecule: ribosomal RNA, 504 nt
Filed under: uncultured bacterium
Lineage: Bacteria
Description: partial 16S ribosomal RNA
Rfam family: Bacterial small subunit ribosomal RNA
Source: RNAcentral